This 504-nucleotide long non-coding RNA is filed under the name Spirodela polyrhiza (greater duckweed). RNAcentral's name for it is "long non-coding RNA (SPOL_LNC001944)". Lineage: Eukaryota; Viridiplantae; Streptophyta; Magnoliopsida; Alismatales; Araceae. The record is from RNAcentral.
UAGGUGACAAGAGGACCUCCUUUAGAAGAAGCAAAGGAAGGUAAGGAAGGUGUCGAAAAUCAACCCUCCUAGAAGUUUCUAGCAUUAUUCCUCUAGAAGGAUGACUCCUUCCUUUAUUAUGAACUGAUUUUGCCCCUAUCGACUCAUAUGAGAAUCAUUAGUCUUUUGCUUUUGAAAAGACUUUAAAUAGAAGGGCAUUUCAAUGAGGGGAGUACAAGUUGGUUUUUGAGAAUGUCUACUCCUGUGAUAAGGGUAUAUUCUAGUUUUAGAUGUGAUGCCCUCAAAUUUUCACUAUAAUUGCCAUUUUUUAAAGAUCAUUUUUAAUCUCUCUUAGGGUACUAUGAUCAUGAUCAAUCAUAGAUCCAAUUAGAAUGAUUAACAAUCCAAUCAACUAAAAUUAUUGAUCAUGAUCAACAAUCUAAUCAAUCAUGAUCAAUUGAUCAUCAUUUAAUAUUACUAUAUCAUAUAGUUAGGUGAUUGAGUGCCUAAAUUAUAUAUAUAAAU